UCUUGUUGUUAAAAAUCAGGAUUUCAUUGAGGCAACAAAAGAGCCAGGCAUCACUUUUUUGGCUGCCAAGUUUGAUGGUGUACUUGGACUUGGGUUCCAAGAGAUCUCAGUUGUGAAAGCUGUUCCAGUUUGGUAUAACAUGGUCAAUCAAGGUCUUGUUACCGAACAAAUUUUUUCAUUUUGGUUAAACCGUAAUGUGAAAGGAAAAGAAGGAGGAGAAAUUGUGUUUGGUGGGGUUGAUCCUAAUCAUUACAAGGGUGAGCACAC
RNAcentral lists this unclassified non-coding RNA (267 nucleotides) under Hevea brasiliensis (rubber tree). The record is from RNAcentral. Lineage: Eukaryota; Viridiplantae; Streptophyta; Magnoliopsida; Malpighiales; Euphorbiaceae.